RNAcentral lists this long non-coding RNA (1021 nucleotides) under Macaca mulatta (Rhesus monkey). Its description in RNAcentral is "lncRNA (ENSMMUG00000061067.1)". The record is from RNAcentral. Lineage: Eukaryota; Metazoa; Chordata; Mammalia; Primates; Cercopithecidae.
AUCUAAUACUUACAAUUUGUUAACUCUCCUUACUUUAACUUACAUAUAUUAAUUCUAAUUCCCAAGAGAACAUUUUAGGAACAGAUGCUAUUAUUCCCCUUCUUUGGGAGAAGAAACACAGGGCCAGAAUAGUUCAGUGACUUGCCCAGAACCUCAAUAAAAUAAAUAUUAUAACUUCAGAUUUGAACCCAAGUCUUUCUAUGGCUAAAGACCAUUCUCUUUCCAAUACAUCAUUCUACCUCCUAGUUUAUGUAAAUUGGAGCAACCAAGUCUGUUUCAACUUGUUUCUAAUUUGUGAGUAAGCUCUUCAAUAUGUUCUAAAACAAUUAGCCACUAUCCAUAAAUAAUCACAGUUGGAAUAGAUAAUUAAACAAACAAAAAGUCUCGUUUCUCUCAUUGCAGGUGUGAACAAGGUCCAUCAAAUGUGUAACUUACUUCUCCAAACUCUACAGAUAUCUCACAAUAUCAUAAGAGUUGGAACUUAAGUUUCAAAGAGAUGGAAGCAAAGUGACACCAAAAAUAUCCUAAAAUUGAACCAGAAUAAUGGGAAGCCUCCAGAAACAAAGCUGGAAUUGAACCAGACUUGCUUUUGUUGACCCAGCAUUUGGACUCAGGCAAAUGCUGACGCGGAUGAAGUUUGCCUUUGUUCCUUCUGCAUCGUCCUUUCCAGCAUCACUUUCUCCUGAAGGUCCCGUGUGCGUAGACAGCAGUGUCACAGGAAAAAUGUAUGGAUUGACUCCUUAAUAUGUCUCCAAACAGCACAGGCUUGGACAUAACAAUAAGACCAGGAAAUACAAAUGGACUGUUAAAAGGAGUAUUUACAGUGGAAACACAAUAAAAAGUGUGGACUCAAGCUGUGUUUAUAUUCCUAUGUUUUCAGGACUUUUGACAUUUAUAACCCUUUUGGCUUUAAAAUUCAAUUUUCAUACUUCAUCUAAGUGAUAAGGUGUAUUUCUUUUGACAAGGUCUAAGAAAAAUAAUCUUUUCAGUUAUUUUGAGUUAUGAAAAAAAUGGGUGAACC